Molecule: long non-coding RNA, 1228 nt
Organism: Gasterosteus aculeatus aculeatus (three-spined stickleback)
Lineage: Eukaryota; Metazoa; Chordata; Actinopteri; Perciformes; Gasterosteidae
Source: Ensembl
UUUUAAACUCACUUCGUUGACGUCCAUCCGGGUUUCUCUCCCUGAAGGACAGAAGCAUCAGUUUCAUGUUAAGUUUCCUGUGUGUGAAUGUUCCUGAUAGAAGUGACGCCAUGUUCUCACCUUUAGAUCUCUUCCAUGUGAAGAACAACACAACAAGAACAACCACCGUCGCUGCAGCCAGAAUGAUGAACCUCCACCAGCCUGCAAGUCAGAAUCCAAACGUCACAAAGCUUCUCUGUUUAAACACUUUCUCUCAUCUCCUCCCACAGCGAGAGUCCGCCCGGCCUUCAUCCUUCAGAAGGUGGUGAAGAGGCCGAGAGGAAACAUCCUCACUCACUUUGGCUGGUUGGAGAGUCGCUCUGUGCAGGUGGUGUAAUGUUGUCCUCCCCCGAUGGGCCUCCUUUGGUUUAGUGGAAUAUGAUAUGAAACACAGACACAAGAAAAGGAGGUGAAAUAAAUCAGUGUUUACUACCUGAGGAGACUGAAUGAGGAAUAAAAUGAUGUCGUCUUUUCACAAACGUACCUGUUUGUUCACAUGAGAACUGACUGCAGGCUUCAAACAGCAGAGUUUUUCCACUCUGAUUGUUUCUCACUUCACAUCUCAGUGACUUAUAAUACUUUGACUUCUGAUGAAGAGGAGCUUUAAACGUCACAGUAGCUUCACAAGCAGCGUGUGAUGUCGUCAUCACAUCAGUCUGUUUGCCGUCAUAAAGCCACUUUACUGUGUGUUCACACUCAGAGGAUCUCAACACAAAGCAGGACAACUCAACCGAACCCCCGUAGUCCUUUUCCUCCACUGGUGAAGAUGUUCAUAUUGUAAACACGUACAGAGAGACCACACCAUCUGGACCUUGUUGUUUUUCUGUUUCAUCAUAAUGUCUGUUGAUGUAACGACCAACAUCUUCACCUGAGACGUUUCUUAUAACCAGAGAACAGUUUGCUGUCAAACUCAGUCUGUUGGUUUUAGCUUCUGGAAUCAAAGCGUUAUUUCUAAACUUCCCAAGUGUAACCAGCUCCACAGUUGAUCCACUACGACUGUAAAGCCAAGUAGAACCGUCACAUCUGUCCUGAUUAGAAGGCAAAGUGACGUCAUCUCCGGCUCUGACGAGGAAGCGGGGGUCAGGGGGGGUUUGUCCUCUUACUAUUGACACAUUUGAAAGAACUGAGGUAAGAAUACAGAUGUUUAGACUCCAGUCACACGUGAUGAAGACAUCGAUAACAAACAGCA